This is a small nuclear RNA of Ochotona princeps (American pika), 107 nucleotides long. The record is from Ensembl. NCBI's taxonomy places the organism in Eukaryota, Metazoa, Chordata, Mammalia, Lagomorpha, Ochotonidae.
GUGCUUGCUUUGGCAGUACAUAUACUAAAAUUAGAAUGAUAGAGUGCAGAUUACCAUUUCCCCUGUGAAAGAAUGACACACAACACUGUGAAGCGUUCCAUAUUUUU